Molecule: ribosomal RNA, 268 nt
Filed under: uncultured bacterium
Lineage: Bacteria
Description: partial 16S ribosomal RNA
Rfam family: Bacterial small subunit ribosomal RNA
Source: RNAcentral
GUCCACGCCGUAAACGAUGGUCACUAGGUGUACGCGGUAUCGACCCCGCGUGUGCCGCAGCUAACGCAAUAAGUGACCCGCCUGGGGAGUACGGCCGCAAGGUUGAAACUCAAAGGAAUUGACGGGGGCCCGCACAAGCGGUGGAGCAUGUGGAUUAAUUCGUCACAAACCGAAGAACCUUACCAGGGUUUGACAUCCUCGGAACCCGGAUGAAAGUUUGGGGUGCCUCGCAAGAGGAGCCGAGAGACAGGUGUUGCAUGGCUGUCGU